AUGCCGGCCAGCUCGUCCGAGGUCUCCGACGACGAGAACGACCCCACGAUGGAGACGGGGUCCGAUGGCACCGCACCGGAGCCCGCGUCUGUGCAUGCCGGCUUCACCAUGGAGCAGGUGCAGACACACUUCAAUGCCGUCAUGGUGGAGGAGCAGGCUGCGCUGGCGCCUAUGUCGGCGUUCCAGAAGACGCAGGAGAAACAACGGCACAACAUAUUCCUCCUAGAGCAGCACCGAAUGGCAGAGGGCCAAAUAGACGGUGAGCGCACGAGCGAGGAGGUCGUGGCGGGCGAACCCUAA
This 300-nucleotide ribosomal RNA is filed under the name Triticum aestivum (bread wheat). RNAcentral's name for it is "partial small subunit ribosomal RNA". Lineage: Eukaryota; Viridiplantae; Streptophyta; Magnoliopsida; Poales; Poaceae. The record is from RNAcentral.